This is a small nuclear RNA of Mesocricetus auratus (golden hamster), 107 nucleotides long. Lineage: Eukaryota; Metazoa; Chordata; Mammalia; Rodentia; Cricetidae. The record is from RefSeq and is a predicted model, not a curated record.
GUGCUUGCUGCGGCAGCACAAAUACUAAAAUUGGAACGAUACAGAGAAGAUUGGCAUGGUCCCUGCACAAGGAUGACACAAAAAUUCGUGAAGCAUUCCAUAUUUUU